Molecule: ribosomal RNA, 492 nt
Filed under: uncultured bacterium
Lineage: Bacteria
Description: partial 16S ribosomal RNA
Rfam family: Bacterial small subunit ribosomal RNA
Source: RNAcentral
AGUGAACGCUGGCGGUAGGCCUAACACAUGCAAGUCGAACGGCAGCACAGUAAGAGCUUGCUCUUACGGGUGGCGAGUGGCGGACGGGUGAGGAAUACAUCGGAAUCUACUUUUUCGUGGGGGAUAACGUAGGGAAACUUACGCUAAUACCGCAUACGACCUACGGGUGAAAGCAGGGGAUCCUCGGACCUUGCGCGAUUGAAUGAGCCGAUGUCGGAUUAGCUAGUUGGCGGGGUAAAGGCCCACCAAGGCGACGAUCCGUAGCUGGUCUGAGAGGAUGAUCAGCCACACUGGAACUGAGACACGGUCCAGACUCCUACGGGAGGCAGCAGUGGGGAAUAUUGGACAAUGGGCGCAAGCCUGAUCCAGCCAUACCGCGUGAGUGAAGAAGGCCUUCGGGUUGUAAAGCCCUUUUGUUGGGAAAGAAAAGCAGCAGGUUAAUACCCCGCUGUUCUGACGGUACCCAAAGAAUAAGCACCGGCUAACUUCGUG